RNAcentral lists this ribosomal RNA (322 nucleotides) under uncultured Bacteroides sp. RNAcentral describes it as "bacterial SSU rRNA". It matches the Rfam family "Bacterial small subunit ribosomal RNA", at positions 28 to 339 of the family's 1533-position model. Lineage: Bacteria; Pseudomonadati; Bacteroidota; Bacteroidia; Bacteroidales; Bacteroidaceae. The record is from RNAcentral.
GAUGAACGCUAGCUACAGGCUUAACACAUGCAAGUCGCGGGGCAUCGCGGUGAGUAGCAAUACUUUCUGGCGGCGACCGGCGGAUGGGUGAGUAACGCGUAUCCAACCUGGCCCUAUCUCGGGGACAGCCCCUCGAAAGAGGGAUUAAUACCCGAUGUUCCCUGGUUUCCGCAUGUUUACCAGGGCAAAGGCAUAUGUCGGAUAGGGAUGGGGAUGCGUUCCAUUAGGCAGUCGGCGGGGUAACGGCCCACCGAGCCUACGAUGGAUAGGGGUUCUGAGAGGAAGGCCCCCCACACUGGGACUGAGACACGGCCCAGACUCC